This 435-nucleotide ribosomal RNA is filed under the name uncultured bacterium. Its description in RNAcentral is "bacterial SSU rRNA". It matches the Rfam family "Bacterial small subunit ribosomal RNA", at positions 42 to 476 of the family's 1533-position model. The record is from RNAcentral.
UCAGGCCUAACACAUGCAAGUCGAACGGCAGCACGGACUUCGGUCUGGUGGCGAGUGGCGAACGGGUGAGUAAUGUAUCGGAACGUGCCUAGUAGCGGGGGAUAACUACUCGAAAGAGUAGCUAAUACCGCAUACGCCCUACAGGGGAAAGGGGGGGAUCGCAAGACCUCUCACUAUUAGAGCGGCCGAUAUCGGAUUAGCUAGUUGGUGAGGUAAAGGCUCACCAAGGCGACGAUCCGUAGCUGGUUUGAGAGGACGACCAGCCACACUGGGACUGAGACACGGCCCAGACUCCUACGGGAGGCAGCAGUGGGGAAUUUUGGACAAUGGGGGCAACCCUGGUCCAGCCAUGCCGCGUGUGCGAUGAAGGCCUUCGGGUUGUAAAGCACAUGGGCAGGAAAGAAAUCGCACGGGUUAAUAACCCGUGUGGAUGAC